This 461-nucleotide long non-coding RNA is filed under the name Capsicum annuum. RNAcentral describes it as "long non-coding RNA (CANN_LNC003018)". The record is from RNAcentral. Lineage: Eukaryota; Viridiplantae; Streptophyta; Magnoliopsida; Solanales; Solanaceae.
CAAGCUUGUUUUUGAUAGUUUAUAGUAGUUGACUAAAGAAUAAAAGCAUUAAACGACAUGUCAUUGUCAAAUUUUGUUGCACAUUCUUCAAGCAGUUUCCCAUCAACUUAUCAUCUGACAAAAAGAAAUAAUAAGUCUUAGAUUAACUUGUAUUAACUUUACUUGUCUGGAAAAAAAAGCAGAGAAAAUUAUUGAACAGAAAAAGAAAUGAAAAAAGUUAUACCUUAUUUAAAUUGAGAUCAAUGUUCAGUUGAGCUUUUUUAGUAGAAAUAUAAUGAUGACAUUUCUUCAGACAAUCUUCGAUGCAAAAAGGAUUGAUAAUACAUAAAAGUUGACAUUUUGUUUCACAAGAUAGUUUCACCUCACCUGUACCUUCAGCAUUUGCUACAAAAAUCACAAUGAGAAAUAAUGCUACUAGAAACUUUGUGAAGUUCAUAAUUGAGAGAACUUUUGGAUUUGAU